GGAUGGACUCGCGGCCUAUCAGCUUGUUGGUGAGGUAAUGGCUCACCAAGGCGACGACGGGUAGCCGGCCUGAGAGGGUGACCGGCCACACUGGGACUGAGACACGGCCCAGACUCCUACGGGAGGCAGCAGUGGGGAAUAUUGCACAAUGGGCGAAAGCCUGAUGCAGCAACGCCGCGUGAGGGAUGACGGCCUUCGGGUUGUAAACCUCUUUUAGUAGGGAAGAAGGGAGCUUGCUCUUGACGGUACCUGCAGAAAAAGCACCGGCUAACUACGUGCCAGCAGCCGCGGUAAUACGUAGGGUGCAAGCGUUGUCCGGAAUUAUUGGGCGUAAAGAGCUCGUAGGCGGUUUGUCGCGUCUGCUGUGAAAUCCCGAGGCUCAACCUCGGGCUUGCAGUGGGUACGGGCAGACUAGAGUGCGGUAGGGGAGAUUGGAAUUCCUGGUGUAGCGGUGGAAUGCGCAGAUAUCAGGAGGAACACCGAUGGCGAAGGCAGAUCUCUGGGCCGUAACUGACGCUGAGGAGCGAAAGCGUGGGGAGCGAACAGGAUUAGAUACCCUGGUAGUCCACGCCGUAAACGUUGGGCGCUAGAUGUAGGGACCUUUCCACGGUUUCUGUGUCGUAGCUAACGCAUUAAGCGCCCCGCCUGGGGAGUACGGCCGCAAGGCUAAAACUCAAAGGAAUUGACGGGGGCCCGCACAAGCGGCGGAGCAUGCGGAUUAAUUCGAUGCAACGCGAAGAACCUUACCAAGGCUUGACAUACACCGGAAACGGCCAGAGAUGGUUGCCCCCUUGUGGUCGGUGUACAGGUGGUGCAUGGUUGUCGUCAGCUCGUGUCGUGAGAUGUUGGGUUAAGUCCCGCAACGAGCGCAACCCUCGUUCUAUGUUGCCAGCGCGUUAUGGCGGGGACUCAUAGGAGACUGCCGGGGUCAACUCGGAGGAAGGUGGGGAUGACGUCAAAUCAUCAUGCCCCUUAUGUCUUGGGCUUCACGCAUGCUACAAUGGCCGGUACAAAGGGCUGCGAUACCGUAAGGUGG
This 1036-nucleotide ribosomal RNA is filed under the name Curtobacterium sp. Its description in RNAcentral is "bacterial SSU rRNA". It matches the Rfam family "Bacterial small subunit ribosomal RNA", at positions 223 to 1265 of the family's 1533-position model. The record is from RNAcentral. Lineage: Bacteria; Bacillati; Actinomycetota; Actinomycetes; Micrococcales; Microbacteriaceae.